This 252-nucleotide ribosomal RNA is filed under the name uncultured bacterium. Its description in RNAcentral is "partial 16S ribosomal RNA". It matches the Rfam family "Bacterial small subunit ribosomal RNA", at positions 524 to 776 of the family's 1533-position model. The record is from RNAcentral.
UACGUAGGGUGCGAGCGUUAAUCGGAAUUACUGGGCGUAAAGCGUGCGCAGGCGGUUUUGUAAGUCAGAUGUGAAAUCCCCGGGCUUAACCUGGGAACUGCGUUUGAAACUACAAGGCUAGAGUGUGGCAGAGGGGGGUGGAAUUCCACGUGUAGCAGUGAAAUGCGUAGAGAUGUGGGGAACACCGAUGGCGAAGGCAGCCCCCUGGGUUAACACUGACGCUCAGGCACGAAAGCGUGGGGAGCAAACAGG